RNAcentral lists this ribosomal RNA (477 nucleotides) under uncultured bacterium. RNAcentral describes it as "partial 16S ribosomal RNA". It matches the Rfam family "Bacterial small subunit ribosomal RNA", at positions 28 to 507 of the family's 1533-position model. The record is from RNAcentral.
GAUGAACGCUGGCGGCGUGCCUAACACAUGCAAGUCGAACGCAGCACCUUACCUUAUUCUUCGCAUGAAAGUUUCGUGACUGAGUGUCGGACGUGUGAGUCACGCCUGGGUAACCUGCCCUGUACAUGGGGAUAACAGCUGGAACCGGCUGCUAAUACCUCAUACGCGCCCGAUGCUACAUCUCCUUGUCUGCACAACUCCGGUGUUACCGUAUGGUCCCUCGUCUGAUUAGAUGGUUGGCAGCGUAACGGCCUACCAAGGCAACGAUCAGUAGCCGGGACGAGAGGAUGAACGGCAAAAGUGGAACAGAGAGACGGAGAGAACUCCUAGGGGAGGAAGCAGUGGGGACUAUGGAACAAUGGGGGAAAGAAUGAGGCAGCAACGCCGAGAGAGUGAAGAAGUAGUGAGGAAGGUAAAGCUCUAUGAGAAGGGAAGAUAAUGACGGUACCUGACGAAGAAGCGACGGCUAAAUACGUG